This 253-nucleotide ribosomal RNA is filed under the name uncultured bacterium. RNAcentral describes it as "partial 16S ribosomal RNA". It matches the Rfam family "Bacterial small subunit ribosomal RNA", at positions 524 to 776 of the family's 1533-position model. The record is from RNAcentral.
UACAGAGGGGGCAAGCGUUGUUCGGAAUUACUGGGCGUAAAGGGCGCGUAGGCGGCCUUCUAAGUCGAACGUGAAAUCCCGAGGCUCAACCUCGGGUCUGCAUCCGAUACUGCCCGGCUAGAGGUAGGUAGGGGAGAUCGGAAUUCCUGGUGUAGCGGUGAAAUGCGCAGAUAUCAGGAGGAACACCGGUGGCGAAGGCGGAUCUCUGGGCCUUACCUGACGCUCAGGCGCGAAAGCUAGGGGAGCGAACUGG